UAGGGAAUCUUCCGCAAUGGGCGAAAGCCUGACGGAGCAACGCCGCGUGAGUGAUGAAGGUCUUCGGUUCGUAAAACUCUGUUAUUAGGGAAGAACAAAUGUGUAAGUAACUAUGCACGUCUUGACGGUACCUAAUCAGAAAGCCACGGCUAACUACGUGGCAGCAGCCGCGGUAAUACGUAGGUGGCAAGCGUUAUGCGGAAUUAUUGGGCGUAAAGCGCGCGUAGGCGGUUUUUUAAGUCUGAUGUGAAAGCCCACGGCUCAACCGUGGGGGGUCAUUGGAAACUGGAAAACUUGAGUGCAGAAGAGGAAAGUGGAAUUCCAUGUGGAGCGGUGAAAAGCGGAGAGAUAUGGGGGAACACCAGGGGCGAAGGCGACUUUCUGGUCUGUAACUGACGCUGGUGUGCGAAAGCGGGGGGAUCAAACAGG
RNAcentral lists this ribosomal RNA (429 nucleotides) under Actinomycetes bacterium. RNAcentral's name for it is "Actinobacteria bacterium partial 16S ribosomal RNA". It matches the Rfam family "Bacterial small subunit ribosomal RNA", at positions 355 to 776 of the family's 1533-position model. The record is from RNAcentral. Lineage: Bacteria; Bacillati; Actinomycetota; Actinomycetes.